RNAcentral lists this ribosomal RNA (414 nucleotides) under Candida albicans. RNAcentral's name for it is "partial large subunit ribosomal RNA". It matches the Rfam family "Eukaryotic large subunit ribosomal RNA", at positions 144 to 534 of the family's 3401-position model. The record is from RNAcentral. Lineage: Eukaryota; Fungi; Ascomycota; Pichiomycetes; Serinales; Debaryomycetaceae.
UGUAAUUUGAAGAAGGUAUCUUUGGGCCCGGCUCUUGUCUAUGUUCCUUGGAACAGGACGUCACAGAGGGUGAGAAUCCCGUGCGAUGAGAUGACCCGGGUCUGUGUAAAGUUCCUUCGACGAGUCGAGUUGUUUGGGAAUGCAGCUCUAAGUGGGUGGUAAAUUCCAUCUAAAGCUAAAUAUUGGCGAGAGACCGAUAGCGAACAAGUACAGUGAUGGAAAGAUGAAAAGAACUUUAAAAAGAGAGUGAAAAAGUACGUGAAAUUGUUGAAAGGGAAGGGCUUGAGAUCAGACUUGGUAUUUUGCAUGCUGCUCUCUCGGGGGCGGCCGCUGCGGUUUACCGGGCCAGCAUCGGUUUGGAGCGGCAGGAUAAUGGCGGAGGAAUGUGGCACGGCUUCCGCUGUGUGUUAUAGC